UCUGGUUGAUCCUGCCAGUAGUGAUAUGCUUGUUUCAAAGAUUAAGCCAUGCAUGUCUAAGUAUAAGCGAACUUAUACAGUAAAACUGCGGAUGGCUCAUUAAAACAGUUUGAAUUUAUUUGAUGAAUGUAUGAGAAUACUACUUGGAUAACCGUAGUAAUUCUAGAGCUAAUACAUGCAACGACGCCCGACCGUUUCACUACGGAAGGGCUGUAUUUAUUGGAUACCAAAACCAUCCUUCCCUCGGGAAGUUUUGUUUGAUGAUUCACAAUAACUGAUCGGAUCGCCACUGUGGUGGCGACAGGUCAUUCAACAUUCUGCCCUAUCAGCUUUCGAUGGUUGUGUAGUGGACAACCAUGGCCAUAACGGGUAACGGAGAAUCAGGGUUCGAUUCCGGAGAAGGAGCUUGAGAAUUGGCUACUACAUCUAAGGAAGGCAGCAGGCGCGCAAAUUACCCAAUCCCGAUUCGGGGAGGUAGUGACAAAAAAUAACAAUACCGGGCCUUUUUGGGCUUGGUAAUUGGAAUGAGGGAGAGUUAAACGGACCAUCGAGUAUCCAUUGGAGGGCAAGUCUGGUGCCAGCAGCUGCGGUAAUACCAGCUCCAAUAGCGUAUAUUAAAGUUGUUGCAGUUAAAAAGCUCGUAGUUGGACUUGUGUGCGCUGUCCGCGGGUGGCCUGCGCCCAAAAGGGCGUUUCGGUUCGGCCCCGGUGGCGCCUUGAAAUCUGCAGCUGGGGGGACGUUGGCCUUAACUGGUCGGCGACCGCACGCCGGCUGCUCGGUUACUGUGAGAAAAUUAGAGUGUUCAAGGCAGGCAUUGGGUGCAAUUGAAUACAUUAGCAUGGAAUAAUAAAAUAUGGCUCCUGCCGUAUUUUGUUGGUUUUCACUGGUGGGAGUAAUGAUUGAUAGGGACGGUUGGGGGUGCUAGUAUUGAGCGGCCAGAGGUGAAAUUCAUGGAUUCGCUCAAGACUAACUUAUGCGAAAGCAUUCACCAAGGACGUCCUCUUUAAUCAAGAACGAAAGUUGGGGGAUCGAAGACGAUCAGAUACCGUCGUAGUCUCAACCAUAAACUAUGUCGACUUGGGAUCGGCGGUAGUUUUUUCAUUAAGACACUGUCGGGACCACGGGAGAAAUCAAAGUGUCUGGACUCUGGGGGAAGUAUGGUCGCAAGGCUGAAACUUGAAGGAAUUGACGGAAGGGCACCACCAGGAGUGGAGCCUGCGGCUUAAUUUGACACAACACGGGGAAACUUACCAGGUCCAGAGAUGUAGAGGAUUGACAGAUUGAAGCUCUUUCUUGAUCACUUCGGUGGUGGUGCGUGGCCGUUCUUAGUUGGUGGAGUG
Molecule: ribosomal RNA, 1340 nt
Filed under: metagenome
Description: SSU rRNA
Rfam family: Eukaryotic small subunit ribosomal RNA
Source: RNAcentral